This 1067-nucleotide ribosomal RNA is filed under the name Cittarium pica. RNAcentral describes it as "12S ribosomal RNA". The stretch from base 196 to 1008 matches the Rfam family "Microsporidia small subunit ribosomal RNA". Lineage: Eukaryota; Metazoa; Mollusca; Gastropoda; Trochida; Tegulidae. The record is from RNAcentral.
AGAUAAGUAUAGAAUGGUUAGAUUUGGUUUUAGUCUACUGUCUUAGUUGCAGCGUCAUUGAAACACAUGGUACUUUAGGGGAUCUGGUGAGGUACUUUAAAUGGAAGGGUCAAGGUUAAAUACUUUGAGAUUUGGGUCUGUUUAAGUAAGCAUAAAUAUAAAGUUGUUACGCUAAAUUAUAUUCACUAGUAGUCACACCAGUGUUGGAGAUUGAACAAUGAAUUUUGAUUUGAUUCAGUGAUUGGCUGUAUCUAGAUCUGGCAAAGUUUGUGCCAGCCGCCGCGGUUAGACAAACGGGUCGAAUUAAGAUUUAGAUAGUAAAAAAGGAGGUUAAUAAGAUUUCAGUUAUGUAGAAGAUAACUAGGCUCUUAGUAGAGGUGGAAUUUGAGCUAAGUGAAGAUGUCUUUUGUUUCUUUGUUUUUGAGGCCUCGAAAUCUUAAUAUAAAACCGGGAUUAGAUACCCCGUUAUUUAAGAUGUAAAAUUUGAUUUUUUUAGAAAUUUACUGGAGUAUUACGAGAAAUAGUUGUAUUUGAAAUUUUAGCUAUUGAUAUCUUAAAACUCAAAAGACUUGGCGGUGCCUUAAGUCCUUCUAGGGGAACCUGUCCUGUAAUUGAUAGUCCACGAUUUACCUUACCAUUUUUUGAACGUUUUCAGCUUGUAUACCGUCGUCGCCAGAUGACCUUUAAGAGAGGAGUAGUUAUCAGGGUAGAGAAAGAGUGUUGGUGUAAGUCAUGUAAUGAUGUGAUCUUAAAUUAACUCAUAUCUCUCCACGUCAGAUCAAGGUGCAGCUUAUAGAAUGGGAGAGAUGGGUUACAAUAAUUAGUUAUUAUACAGAUUUCUUUCUGCAAAAUAUAGGAAGAUUGAAGGUGGACUUGGAAGUAAUAAAUGGAAUAGAGAGCUUGUAUGAAGAUGGCUCUAAGGCGUGCACACAUCGCCCGUCGCUCUCGUUGAAAAAUGAGAUAAGUCGUAACAUAGUGAGGGUACCGGAAGGUGCCCUUGGUGAAAGAAGAAAAAUUGGAGAUUUUUCGAUAUUGUAAGUUCUAUAUGAUAAAAGCAUGUUUAUUAA